GACGAACGCUGGCGGCGUGCUUAACACAUGCAAGUCGAACGGAAAGGCCCUGCUUUUGUGGGGUGCUCGAGUGGCGAACGGGUGAGUAACACGUGAGUAACCUGCCCUUGACUUUGGGAUAACUUCAGGAAACUGGGGCUAAUACCGGAUAGGAGCUCCUGCUGCAUGGUGGGGGUUGGAAAGUUUCGGCGGGUGGGGAUGGACUCGCGGCUUAUCAGCUUGGUGGUGGGGUAGUGGCUUACCAAGGCCGUGACGGGUAGGCGGCCUGAGAGGGUGACCGGCCACAUUGGGACUGAGAUACGGCCCAGACUCCUACGGGAGGCAGCAGUGGGGAAUAUUGCACAAUGGGCGGAAGCCUGAUGCAGCAACGCCGCGUGCGGGAUGACGGCCUUCGGGUUGUAAACCGCUUUCGCCUGUGACGAAGCGUGAGUGACGGUAAUGGGUAAAGAAGCACCGGCUAACUACGUG
This 468-nucleotide ribosomal RNA is filed under the name uncultured bacterium. RNAcentral describes it as "partial 16S ribosomal RNA". It matches the Rfam family "Bacterial small subunit ribosomal RNA", at positions 28 to 507 of the family's 1533-position model. The record is from RNAcentral.